GAGCAAAACGGACACGCUCCGUCCUGCGUUCGUUACUUCCGCUAUAGUAUCAUUAUAUAUUCUCUAACGGCCGCAUUGUGUUGAUCUGUCCAAAUUAUUAUCAUGGAACCGGUUGACACUAAAAUUCGCACACAGAGACACGCAUUUACGAAACGUUGUCUCACCAAUGGCUUAGCCAUUGUAGUUACGGAACAUCUACAUCAUGCCAACAUGGUAAAAAUGACGGACAGAUUGCAACAUCCGGACAUACUCAAUACAGAGGAAUCUAAUGUGUCUCGACUCGAAAUUAUGUAAAUAACUUAUACACGGCUGAAGAAAGACAAAGAAAAGAACGGUAACGGUAACAAGUUACUUUUAUAAAGUAACUUUGCCAACCCUGAAAUA
This is a long non-coding RNA of Solenopsis invicta (red fire ant), 384 nucleotides long. RefSeq lists it as uncharacterized. The transcript has 3 exons. Lineage: Eukaryota; Metazoa; Arthropoda; Insecta; Hymenoptera; Formicidae. The record is from RefSeq and is a predicted model, not a curated record.